UGUUGUGCCUUAUAAUAGCUGCCCUGGUCAGGGUGUCUGUUCACAGCAAUGGAAACCUAACUAAGACAAGGAGGGCCUUGGUUUGAUUUCUGCAGCUUGAGUUCUGUGGCUGCUGAUCCUGGCUCCCUGAAGGGCACACUGAGCGAGCAGGUUGACCGGGAAGUUGAUCAACACUUUCUGCCAGAGCCCAGAACCACCAGUCCAGUCAUGACCCCGCCCACAAUAGGUUGUACUCUUCCCACAUCAAUCACUAAGAAGAUGCUCUACAGCCCCAACUCAUGGAAGCAUUUUCUCAAUUGUUCCAUGACUCUAGCCAGGAUCAAGUUGAUCUACAGCUAGCCAGCACAGCAAGUGAGUGACACUGUCAAUAGGACAAAACGACAACCAACAAAUUGGGAAAAGAUCUUUACCAAUCCUACAUCUGAUA
This is a long non-coding RNA of Grammomys surdaster, 427 nucleotides long. RefSeq lists it as uncharacterized. The transcript is spliced from 3 exons. The record is from RefSeq and is a predicted model, not a curated record. NCBI's taxonomy places the organism in Eukaryota, Metazoa, Chordata, Mammalia, Rodentia, Muridae.